This is a long non-coding RNA of Corticium candelabrum, 914 nucleotides long. RefSeq lists it as uncharacterized. Lineage: Eukaryota; Metazoa; Porifera; Homoscleromorpha; Homosclerophorida; Plakinidae. The record is from RefSeq and is a predicted model, not a curated record. The transcript has 4 exons.
AGGGCUUGCAAAUUUCAUAUGUACGACUGUGUGUAUGGUCAUGUGGGGUACUGAUUAUGCAAAUCAGGCUCUUGCGCUCAGCUGGGAUCACUACGUGGCGCAGCUUGUUUUCCUUUCAUUGGCUAUGGAAGUUCGUGUCUCACAAGCAUUUUGAACCAUUUUGUCAGUCCUUCACAUCGAGAAUUCUUGUACAGAGAAGGACCGACAGGCUGACCCGUUGCACAAGGUCUGCAGCCUUUUGCACAAUAUGCGUAUAAAUUGCAUGCAGAUGUGUCAGCCUGAUGCGUGUGGCUCAUUGGAUGAGUGAAUGAUUAAAGCCAAAGGCUGCUUUGCCUUUAGACAAUGUAUAUAUGGGAUAGCGUGACACAUACUAAUAUGUGUAUGGGUUCUAUACGAUGUACACCGGCAGCAGCAGCUAGCCAUGAGAAAGGAAAAGCCAAAUGUCAUCAAGCAGGCCUUCAUCUGGAAGACACGGUCACCACCAGUGUGGUCUACAGACAGUCAUGCAACUGCUGAAUCCACUCUAUCAUCAGGAGUACACGAUCUCAUUGAUCAAUUUUACACAUCAGGAUCUUUGUUUACGGACCAGAUUCCAUGGCUUGUGUUAUAGUUCAGCUGAAACUGAAAGAGCUACCUCAAGGAUUUAAAAUCUAAAGGAAUUUGGAGAAUUACCUAGAGGCUUCUUUGGUACCACAGAGUGGGUACCAUACAGUGGGCCAACAGAAUGAUGUCACCAUAUGCAUGAUGACAAAUCUUCAUGCUGGACACCAUCAUCUACCUUGCCAUCAUUUCAACAGAACACUUGAACAAUAGGAUGGAUACCGCAGAAUCAUUGUUUCCAGACCAGAGGCUAUCACUGCUUACAACAAGCAUAUGGGGCACAUUGAUACAUCAGAUCAAAUCAUGAAAUUAUU